UUACGGGAGGCAGCAGUGGGGAAUUUUGGACAAUGGGGGCAACCCUGAUCCAGCCAUUCCGCGUGAGUGAAGAAGGCCUUCGGGUUGUAAAGCUCUUUUGUCCGGAGCGAAACGGUACGGGUGAAUAUCCCGUGCUACUGACGGUACCGGAAGAAUAAGCACCGGCUAACUACGUGCCAGCAGCCGCGGUAAUACGUAGGGUGCGAGCGUUAAUCGGAAUUACUGGGCGUAAAGCGUGCGCAGGCGGUUUUGUAAGCCAGAUGUGAAAUCCCCGGGCUCAACCUGGGAAUGGCAUUUGGGACUGCAAGGCUUGAGUAUGGCAGAGGGGACUAGAAUUCCUGGUGUAGCAGUGAAAUGCGUAGAUAUCAGGAGGAAUACCGAUGGCGAAGGCAGGUCCCUGGGUUAAUACUGACGCUCAUGCACGAAAGCGUGGGGAGCAAACAGGAUUAGAUACCCCGGUAGC
This 463-nucleotide ribosomal RNA is filed under the name uncultured bacterium. RNAcentral's name for it is "bacterial SSU rRNA". It matches the Rfam family "Bacterial small subunit ribosomal RNA", at positions 339 to 794 of the family's 1533-position model. The record is from RNAcentral.